GUGGGGAACCUGCCGUAUACAGGGGGAUAACACAUAGAAAUAGGUGCUAAUACCGCAUAAGCGCACAUCUUCGCAUGAAGGAGUGUGAAAAGGCGAAAGCCGGUAUACGAUGGCCCCGCGUCUGAUUAGCCAGUUGGCAGGGCAGCGGCCUACCAAAGCGACGAUCAGUAGCCGGCCUGAGAGGGCGGACGGCCACAUUGGGACUGAGACACGGCCCAGACUCCUGCGGGAGGCAGCAGUGGGGAAUAUUGCACAAUGGGGGGAACCCUGAUGCAGCGACGCCGCGUGAGUGAAGAAGUAUUUCGGUAUGUAAAGCUCUAUCAGCAGGGAAGAAAAUGACGGUACCUGAAUAAGAAGCCCCGGCUAACUACGUGCCAGCAGCCGCGGUAAUACGUAGGGGGCAAGCGUUAUCCGGAUUUACUGGGUGUAAAGGGAGCGUAGACGGUUAUGCAAGUCUGGAGUGAAAGCCCGGGGCUCAACCCCGGGACUGCUUUGGAAACUGUAAAACUGGAGUGCAGGAGAGGCAGGCGGAAUUCCUAGUGUAGCGGUGAAAUGCGUAGAUAUUAGGAGGAACACCAGUGGCGAAGGCGGCCUGCUGGACUGUAACUGACGUUGAGGCUCGAAGGCGUGGGGAGCAAACAGGAUUAGAUACCCUGGUAGUCCACGCGGUAAACGAUGAUCACUAGGUGUCGGAGGGUAGAGACCCUUCGGUGCCGCCGCAAACGCAGUAAGUGAUCCACCUGGGGAGUACGUUCGCAAG
This 760-nucleotide ribosomal RNA is filed under the name uncultured bacterium. Its description in RNAcentral is "bacterial SSU rRNA". It matches the Rfam family "Bacterial small subunit ribosomal RNA", at positions 117 to 892 of the family's 1533-position model. The record is from RNAcentral.